ACCCACGACACCCGGAGCAUUACAGAUUGCCUCUAGAUUAUGUAGUAUUUUUUUAUUUCAGCCCAAGCAGCAGAUGUGUCAGUCCUGGAGACCAGAGUGACAGACAGUAAGAGUCAGGUGGAAGAAGUGAAGAAAGAGAAUGCAGCCUUGGAGGCCAAACUGAGUUCCAGUGAGAGCCAGUUAGAGGAGAUGAAGAAAGACAAUUCUGCCCAAGCAGCAGAACUGUCAGCCUUGGGGACUAGAGUUACAGCCAGUGAGACUCAGGUUGUGGAUUUGAAGAAAGAGAAGGCAGGUAAAAACGAAAGAGGACUACUGUGAAUAUACACGUCAUCAAAAGAAUGCUUGUCUCAACUCAGUA
This is a non-coding RNA of Oncorhynchus mykiss (rainbow trout), 358 nucleotides long. The record is from RefSeq and is a predicted model, not a curated record. NCBI's taxonomy places the organism in Eukaryota, Metazoa, Chordata, Actinopteri, Salmoniformes, Salmonidae.